GAGGUUUGGGUCUGGGGGAGCAAAUUAGUAAGGAAAUAACAAGGUUAGUUUAUACAGCCCUCUCGGCCUUAAAUCCCCUAUCUCUGGUGCUAAGGAUGCCCCGUACCCUCCUGGUGCAAGGAGGGCGGGCACCUUUCACACGGGAGAUUUAUUUCCUGCCUUCGAGGGGACGGAGGAGGUCAGAGAGUCCUUCUUGCAUGGGCUGUUUCUUAAGUAACUUUAAUUCAAAACAACCAAUAUGCCAAAUCGGCAUAUUUGGGGAUGACACAUGCUGCUCCCCUUCAGUAUUUUACCACAAUUUCAAAAACUGAAAAAAAAAAAAAAAAGCAGCACCCAAUAAUAACAUCUACUCCUCUGCUGAUGAGUGAACGCUUACCACCUCAAUACGAGGCACAGCGCUAAAUGAUUUACAUGCAGGAAUUCAUCUGCUGCUCAUAACAAGCCUCCCAGAAACUCUUAUCUCGUUUUGCAGAUGGGGAAACUGAGGCACGGAGAAACCAAGUAACUUGUCCAAGGUCACACAGCUGGUAACGGCUAAGCCAGACCCAGACGAGACACACUGGCCCUUGAGUCCCCGAUACUGUCACCCAAAACUGGGUCCGCCCCUUGGUGGGUGUCGAGCCAAGAGACACAACCAAGCCAAGGACGAGGCAAAGGAGGGUUUUUACUUGCAACAAGCAAUGGAGAACUCGGGGGAUGUUUCCCAAAGCAGCGUCUCCUCCAUCAACAAAGAUGGCGAGGUUGGAAUCCAGGGGUGCACGCGUAUUCAUGAAGGGGCGGCAGGACUGGGAAUUAGCAUGGCAUUGGGGCAAAAGUCACCUUAAAGUGACAGAGUCCGGGUCCAAGUCACGAGGGCGGCAAGGGUAGGCAUCGUCAAUUCUCUGGCUUCAGUUGGUCCCAUAUCUGGGUGCUCAGAGGGGUUUAGAUCCCACAAAGAUAACUCAGCAAUGUGAGGCCGGUCAGUCUUCACUUUUUAGAUCAGCGUCGGGAGUUUUCCACCGAUGUAAUUAGACUAUCUCCUGGCCCGAAAGAUCUCCCAUCUUUCCUAAGAUGCCCCGGGGCCUAAAAUGACUUCUCUUAUGUCAAGAAAACCAUGUCUUUCUUUUUGUGGGGCCCCCUAACUCUUUCUGCUUCCAGUAAUGACCUAUGUGAGAGGCCUUAUUAGGCCCAAUUCCCUUUUGAUGGACUUGUCCAAUGAGACCCCGGGGGAAGGCUCUGGGGAAGGUGGGGUCAACGGAGAGUUCCACUUGGAGGACGAGGACUGUCGGCCAUCAGCCCCUUCCCCCCAGUCCCAGAGCAGCCAUCAGGCCAUCCCUAUGGAGAAUGAACCACACUCAGCCCUCCAGGAGCCUCCAGGCCUGAGGCGGUGAGUACUGGGCUCAGCCAGGGGCAUAGGGGUGGGUCCUGCAUCAUGUGGGGCCGGACCAGGAGCAGCCUGAAGACUCCAUGACCCCUUGUUACCGAACCAGGCCCUUGGGUUCUCAAGCAAUAGACGUUGACAGGAGGUUGAACGGGAGGUUCGGGCAAGGCUUUACUGGGGCUUACGCUCGAGCACAAGGGAGGCAGCCCAAGAGAAGGAAUCCUCAAGCUGACUCCCUGAGGAGAGGUCGGGCGAGUUUCUGAAAGAAACUUGGGUGGGAGGGGGGCGCCUGGGUGGCUCAGUCGGUUCAGCAUCCAACUUCGACUCUGGUCAUGAUCUUGCGGUCCGAGGGUUCGAGCCCCGGGUCGGGCUCUGUGCUGACAGCUCAGAGCCUGGAGCCUGCUUCGGAGUCUGUGUCUCCCACUCUCUCUGUGCCCCUCCCCCACUCAUGCUCUGUCUCUCUCUCUCUCUCUCUCUCAAAAUAAAUAAACAUUAAAAAAAAUAGAGAAACUUGGGUGGGAAAAGGGUGCCAUCCAAGCCUGCAGGGGCAGGGAUGUGUUAGCGUCGGUGCACUUACAAAUCAUGCUUCUUCAUGCGUUGUGUGCCUGAUUGAUAAUUAAAUCUCCACCCCUGGGCAUGAUUCUUAGUGGUAUAUUGAGGGGGAACGCGGCCAAGGGUCAGCACUGGGGUCCAUCUCAGCACAAACUGGUUUCGUCUCUGCCAGGCUCUGUAGUCCAGUCCCUCCUGUCGGUAAGCAAUCUGCCCCCACGCUCCUGCGUGUUUCAGUUUUGGGGUUUUUUUUAUUUCUUAUGGAGGUAGCCAAAGAACGCUGGCUUUUGCGGUCAGGGUUGCAGGGACCUGAGUCCAAUCCCUGUUCUGUCUCACUCCGAGGAGGAGAAUCACUGACAGGCCCAGAGGGUUCCUGCUCUCAGUAAAGGGAGCGGCCAGGGCUGUCUGGGUACGAGAAAGGUCAGGCCUUUGAUCACCCUCCAGGAGUCUGGAAGCAGCUAUGGCUGAGCCCUGGGAAGUCAGGGGUCAGCUCUGGUUAUCUUGUCUUUCCUCCUCUGGAGGUCAUGACCCUGGUACUGGUCACGAUCACCUUCAGGAAGUGACCACGGCAGGGACUGGCUUCCUUCCCCGCCCCUGGCCGGUCCCCCGGGGGCCUCGCCAGCUUGCUUCGCAAAUUAACACUGUCUUUAAAAAUCAAAAAAUACAGAGCUGAUCCCAGAUCUGUCAAGGGCUAGAGGGGAAAGAGGAAGGGCUGGGGAACAGACAAGUCUGGGGCACUUACCGGUGCAAUGAACUUGUGCCCUCGAACAAUUCGCAAGCCACCCCUGAUCCUCAACCUUGUUGGCAGUAAAUGGGGACAGUGACCUGAACUCACAGGCCUUGGGAAGAUUAAAUAUGAUGACGUUGGUGGGGUCUGACGCUCACAACUGUUUCAUCACCUCUUUGCUCUUGAUGGAAUGUCUUUUCUCUCUGUCCUUGAUGGAGCGUCUUUUCUCUUUGCUCUUGAUGGAACGUCUUUUCGUGACCUGGGAAGGGAGGGAGGUAGCAGCCAGUGAAAGGGAACAAGAAAACAUCUAAAAGUAAAACAUUUUGCCUGCCUAAGCUUUGAAAAUCAAACCUUCCCUCCAGGCUCAAGCCCAGACCCUCCUGCUGGGCCCGGCUCUGAGCCCCACACUCAGGGGCUCCAAUGUGGCUUCUGUGCAUGGGCCAGAGGGAAACUGACACCUAGAGCCAAGCCAGUGGCUGAGCUGCGGGCCAGAGAAGGGCCCGGCGCCCAGGCAGAGGGAAGGAGCUGGAAGAGAGGCCAGAAGCCAGUGGGGAAGAGAGAGGGGGAAGGAGGAGGACAGGAGGGAGAGAGAGAAGGAGAGUCAGAGACAGGAAGGAGGAAGAAUGACAGACAAGAAAGAGAAACAGGGAGAAAGAGAGACAAGGCAAGUGAUCUGUGUGAAUCCCUUUUGCUCAGGGCCCUUUCCUCCUCCCUGUCCCCUCCCUGCCCUGUCCCCCGCUGCACUCACCCCCACCUCCUCUAUAAUACUGCUCUUCUCCUGUAAAAGCAGACUAAUCACAGCCAGCCCCUGGGGGCCCAGUGAGCCACCACAGCAGGUGUCCUGGGAAAGGUGACCCUUACGUUUGUUCCCCCUUCUCAGGAAGGCACGCGGGCUAUGCCCAGGGGAUGCUUUCCCUGGGGGAAGCAUCCAGGGGAAUCAGGGUGGAAUGGGGGCAGGAGUCACCGGCUCACGGCACAGGGAGGCAAAGUGAAGUCACCUCAACAUAUAUAAACACACACAUUAGCUGGAGCUGGGAUGAUAGUGCAGACUUUUCAAAGCACCCAGUAGGUACACAACAAAGAUCUGUUGAAUGAAUGAAGGACAUCCCAUUCACAGAUAUGACGUGGUUCCCAGAUGCCCCUGUGGAUUGAAGAGGGUGAUUGCCAUGAUCUCAUCUUUCUAGACAAAGAAGGAAAGGCCCAGAGAGGUCAAGCAACCUGCCCAAGGACCCACAGCGGCAGCUGGUACUCCUGACACCUGGGGACCACUGAGUCCAGAUCUCCUUUGACAGAUCAGGGGGCUCAGGCUCGGGGAACUGCAGAGUGAUGGACCCAAGGGCACCAGCCAGGGUGGUACCACGACUGGCCGGGACUUGGACCCAGGACUUCUCUGACCACAGGUUAGGUGCCUGGAUCUAGGCUGUCUUUCCCUUGGGCCCUUCUGCACUACCUCUUCCUUCCCCUCCCAACCCAGAGCUGUGACAGCCCUGGUCCCAGCCCCACCCUGACCUCAGCCUUGGGAGGCCAGAUGCCUGGAACUCGCCAGGAAAAUGGAGCUGUGUGGUCCCUUCAGCUUUCUGUGGCCUCCUCCAAGAUGUUCUCCUGGGCUCUUUCCCCACCAGAAGGGCCCAGGAGAACAUGAGCAGUCCUGUAGAUGCUCUACCUUACCCUAGAAGUGAGCCAGCCCCCCCCCCGCCACGGCCAGCCCCCGACACAGUCUAGGACUCCAGACUGCCAAGUCCAACACCUGAAAGACACUGAAUACAAUACACCGAAAUAUCUCUUAGGACGUCGUCCCCAGGCCUUACUAUCGGGCCUCUGCUUACACGCCUUCUGUGAUGGGGAACUCAUUCCCCCAAGUCACCCACCACAUGGAGACAGCCCUGACUGUUAGAAAGCCUUUCCUUAGACUAAACGGGAAAGCUGUAACCUGUGGCCUUACCGCUCUGUCCUAGACACAACUCCCAGGGCUACGUAGGCUGAAUCCCUUUUUCCCAAGGUAGCUGUUCAAAUAUUUGAAAGAAUAAUCAUGGUCAUCUAUUCAUUUCUGAAAUACUUACUUGAAGACAGCCACCGUAGCUCUUUUCAUCCAUUCAUUCAUCUUCCUGGCUCCCAGGUCCUGGGCUGGCUUCUGGGGAUGUGACUCCACCGUCUCAGCCCUCAGAAUGUCCCCAGUGUCCUGGGGGAGACAGAUGCUUGGGCCAGCCGUUACACGCAAGGUCCCAGUGCUGUGAUGGGGGCGGGGGGGGGGGCCGGGGAAGCAGAAGAAACAAGUUCCAGACAGAGAAGCAGGAAGGUCCGAAAGACCCCUGGCCCCAGGGGCAGUGAAAAUGGAAGGAUGAUGGCUGCAGGGGAGAAUGGGGGGAGAAUAGACCCACUCUGGUCGCACCUGCAUCCUGGACCACGCAGGCUAGAGACCCGCCUCGCUUUGAUGUUCAGGCAAAUGUAAAGUCCAAGCCCACGGGAGCCAAGAGCAAAGGAGAGAAAAGGGCUGUGAGGGAGCGGAGAGUCCAGGCCCAGGGUGAGGGCCAGGCCCUGGCUGGGCUUCCCAUGCGCAGUGGGGAAUUGUCCUCACUGCAGUCCUGCAGAGGAACCCUUAUCCAACUGCCAGACGAGCUGGUGGGGCACAUUCGGUCACAUGUGGGUGACCCUGUCGAGAGAGGGGCCCCCGGCCCUGUGUGCGGGCUCAGUAGCUCAUCUAGGCUCAGGCUGGUCUCUGACCCCAGAGCUCAGCCCGUGUCCAGGACUGCCCUGGGGCAGUGGACAAGGAGGCCAGGGUAGGAGUCACUGGGUGGCCCAGCCCACGGAAAGGCCCAGUGGCCAAACAAGGGCCAGCUUUGCAUGACCUUGGGCUCAGGCUCAGGCCUGUCCAGCCCUAUCUUGGACUCGCUCCCUGGGAGCUGGGGUCAGUGGGGUUAAGGGCUCUGCUCUGGUUCAGACAGACCAGGAUUUCAGUCCUACCUCUGGGCUUCACCGGCUGGUCCCCCACCAGCCUAUGGGCUCCAGGAGGCAGGAGGGGGUCACUGGCGAGAGGCCUGGAGGGGUGGACAGGAGCGCAGGCUCUAGAGUCAGAGGUCAGAGCUCAAAUCUUGGUUCUGACCCUGAACAGCCAUGCCCUGGACAAGCCACAUAACCUCUCAAGCCUCAGUGCCCUCAUCUGGAAAAUGGGCUGAUAACAGUAAUCCCCACCUCCCCAGACACACGGGCUGGUUGUGAGGGGUCCGUUGCCCAUCGGGUGGAGCAUUCAACAUGGAGUCAGAGCUCUACUGAGGUUACACAUAAUUAUCUUCACCUCUUGGUUCCUGGACAGAGCCCUG
This 5953-nucleotide long non-coding RNA is filed under the name Lynx pardinus (Iberian lynx). Lineage: Eukaryota; Metazoa; Chordata; Mammalia; Carnivora; Felidae. The record is from RNAcentral.